UCCGUAGGGGGACCUGCGGAAGGAUCAUUA
RNAcentral lists this ribosomal RNA (30 nucleotides) under Diplocarpon coronariae. Its description in RNAcentral is "partial 18S ribosomal RNA". The record is from RNAcentral. Lineage: Eukaryota; Fungi; Ascomycota; Leotiomycetes; Helotiales; Drepanopezizaceae.